CGCUGUGUGCCGGGCGCCACCUGCGCCUGGCCGCUGGGUUCAGACCGGAAGACUGGGCGCCGGGGACGUGACGACGGCGCGCGGCGUAUGCAGAUGAAGAGGCGCGCAGAGGCUGUCGGUCCUACUGCGCCCGCUCCCCCUGCGUCCCGGAUCCAGACGCCCCGAGGCUGUUUUUGCGGUGGGCGAGGAAAGAAGAGCCGCUACUUAGACGCGACAAGUGCCGUGUAGAGUUACCGUUGCGGGUUCUAAAGCCCCGGAGCCAAUGCGACGAGGAAGGGUGUCCAUUGUUUUCCUGCUAGUUAUGCAACCCACUGGUGGUGUCUGCUGCGGCCCCCAAAAUGGGACCUGGUGUAGCCAACAGAGCUACCACCGCCCGUUUGUCUCCAGACUGUCCCGGGAAAUGCCACCCACCCCGAGGGGUGGAGGCAGCCGGAAGGCCUGGGCCCGUGAAACGCAGGAAGCUCCCGCGGGAGCCUUUCUGUGUGGGGUUCUCCGAGGCACCUGGAAAGAAUGAUACUCGUGCUUUUUUUUUUUUU
Long non-coding RNA from Artibeus jamaicensis (Jamaican fruit-eating bat), 536 nucleotides. RefSeq lists it as uncharacterized. The record is from RefSeq and is a predicted model, not a curated record. Lineage: Eukaryota; Metazoa; Chordata; Mammalia; Chiroptera; Phyllostomidae. The transcript has 2 exons.